Molecule: ribosomal RNA, 447 nt
Filed under: uncultured bacterium
Lineage: Bacteria
Description: bacterial SSU rRNA
Rfam family: Bacterial small subunit ribosomal RNA
Source: RNAcentral
UGGGGAAUAUUGGACAAUGGGCGAAAGCCUGAUCCAGCCAUGCCGCGUGAGUGACGAAGGCCUUAGGGUUGUAAAACUCUUUCGUCGGGGACGAUAAUGACGGUACUCGGAGAAGAAGCUCCGGCUAACUUCGUGCCAGCAGCCGCGGUAAUACGAAGGGGGCUAGCGUUGUUCGGAUUUACUGGGCGUAAAGCGCACGUAGGCGGAUAGUUAAGUCAGGGGUGAAAUCCUGGGGCUCAACCCCAGAACUGCCUUUGAUACUGGCUGUCUCGAGGUCGAGAGAGGUUGGUGGAAUUCCUAGUGUAGAGGUGAAAUUCGUAGAUAUUAGGAAGAACACCAGUGGCGAAGGCGGCCAACUGGCUCGAUACUGACGCUGAGGUGCGAAAGCGUGGGGAGCAAACAGGAUUAGAUACCCAAGUAGUCCCUGAGCGGGCUGGCAAGGCGCAU